This 213-nucleotide ribosomal RNA is filed under the name uncultured bacterium. RNAcentral's name for it is "partial 16S ribosomal RNA". It matches the Rfam family "Bacterial small subunit ribosomal RNA", at positions 1289 to 1500 of the family's 1533-position model. The record is from RNAcentral.
CAGUUCGGAUUGUAGUCUGCAACCCGACUACCAUGAAGCUGGAAUCGCUAGUAAUCGCGGAUCAGAAUGCCGCGGUGAAUACGUUCCCGGGUCUUGUACACACCGCCCGUCACACCAUGGGAGUCGGAAAUGCCCGAAGUCUGUGACCCAACCGCGAGGAGGGAGCAGCCGAAGGCAGGUCGGAUGACUGGGGUGAAGUCGUAACAAGGUAAC